AUACGUAGGGUGCAAGCGUUAUCCGGAUUUACUGGGCGUAAAGGGUCCGUCGGCGACCUAGAAAGUCUUUUGUUUAAGCCUGUGGCUCAACUACAGAAAGGCAAAAGAAACUUCUAGGAUUGAGUAUGUUAGGGGAAGCUGGAAUUCUCAGUGGAGGGGUGAAAUCCGUAGAUAUUGAGAGGAACGCCAAUCGCGAAGGCAAGCUUCUAUGACAUUACUGACGCUCAGGGACGAAAGCUAGGGUAGCAAAAGGGAUUAGAAACCCCAGUAGUCC
This 274-nucleotide ribosomal RNA is filed under the name uncultured bacterium. Its description in RNAcentral is "partial 16S ribosomal RNA". It matches the Rfam family "Bacterial small subunit ribosomal RNA", at positions 523 to 796 of the family's 1533-position model. The record is from RNAcentral.